GCGCGAAUAGCUCAGCUGGUAGAGCACUCGACUGAUACUCGAGCGGUCCCAAGUUCGAAUCUUGGUUCGCGCA
This 73-nucleotide transfer RNA is filed under the name Minisyncoccota bacterium. RNAcentral describes it as "tRNA-Ile". It matches the Rfam family "tRNA". From Rfam's summary of the family: Transfer RNA (tRNA) molecules are approximately 80 nucleotides in length. Their secondary structure includes four short double-helical elements and three loops (D, anti-codon, and T loops). The record is from RNAcentral. Lineage: Bacteria; Bacillati; Minisyncoccota.